CGCGACAAUACGCCCAAAUCCUUCGAUUUCCUUGUUUUAACCGCCCUCCGAGGAACCAUCGUUGCCCAUGGCGUCUCGGCUCAAGGUCGCCGAAGGAAUGCUUAUUCUGAUAUUUUAGAAUUGUUAUUCCAUGAACCGAACCAAUGGCUGAUUGGAGUUUCAUACAUGCAAUUGUUACCUUGACUAGGUAAAUAAGGCUGGAUUUGUACUGGUUUAGUUUCCUCCUCUCCAUUUUUCAUUCUUUCCUGCUUGACAGAGCAGCUGCUAACUUCCACAGCUUCCUCCUUCGGCCGGUGACCUCUCGUCUUCCACGGCUGCUUCCACCGUCUGACUGCAAAAGCGUCCUCCCUCUCGCACGCAGUGGUGUCGAAAAGGAGCACGGUGAAGUGCAUAUUGCCAUCGUACCGGAAGACUAGGAACUCGCAUUCUUUCAGAGAGUGAUCCUUCACGAACUUGCUCCAGCCGGAGGCAAGGAACGUGCCUUCCCUGUUUCUCCUCAGCUCCACACUCCAUUUGCUUCCGCUGGGGCCGUGAAGGAAGAUGGCCGUUUUGGACUCUGUGGCUGGACCUGGAAUGUGUUUCAGAAACUUUGGGGGAAUCCUCUGCAGCAGAUUCAAAGAGCAAGUAAACAGAAAUCAAAGCGCCACAGGGGAAGCACAUUCAGAUAGAGAUAGACGAGGGAGGAGCUUGCCAGGUGGUGGGUGAAGUCGCCGAGGAGGACUUUGAAGAAGUGGGGCUUCCUCUGCCUCACCAGGUUCUGCUGCUGCUGCUUCUUCUUGAUUGUGUUCUUCUGCUGCUGCUGCUGGGAGUUCAUGGUGGCUCUCGGAUUGGAAAGGCUCAGGUGGUGGAUGAAACUAAUGCGGUGGAAGGAUUGAUAUGAUGCUGAAUUAUUGAUAGGGAAAGAAGGGAGAGCAAUAAAAGGAGCGCUGCUUUUGAGGUCUCUCGCGCUGCUUUGAUUUCCUCAACGGAAGGACAAAGAUCGAAGACUGCGCCUACUGCUGCCAUUUGCAUUAUCCACUACCGCAGCGCACACGCACAACUCUCUCUCUCUUCUCUCUUCUCUCUUCUCUCUUCUCUCUUUAAUCUGGCUCGGGAAAGAGAAUGAAUAUGCGAAGGUUCCUUCUUAGAAGAUACCAAGGUUUUCAUAUAAUAACUCAUAAAACCAAAUCUCAAAUGCAGUUUACUUGCAGUUUGAUCUUGUUAAGGUCAUUGUUUGGUUGUAGUAGAAGCUACAACUCAUACAGUGGGUUUCACUUUCAUUGAGGUCUUUUAUUAGCACAGUGCCACAGCAAAUAA
Zingiber officinale is the source of this 1296-nucleotide long non-coding RNA. RefSeq lists it as uncharacterized. The record is from RefSeq and is a predicted model, not a curated record. The transcript is spliced from 2 exons. Lineage: Eukaryota; Viridiplantae; Streptophyta; Magnoliopsida; Zingiberales; Zingiberaceae.